UAAAAAAAGAAAAUUUUUUGAUCGUAGGAGGGAUAGUUAUGCUCUAAAGUUGGAAAGGUGCAUUACCUAACGAUGAUAAGAUUCUUGAGUUCGAUUGAGUUAUGAUCAUUGCUUAGUUCACCCUUUGUUAAUUACACGCAUUGCGGGGACUCAAUAAUAGAUCUCUGGUUUGUCUGAGAAAGGAUUGAUGAAAUCUGAUUUGGGAGACAUCGAUUGUCGACGAUUAUGGGUGUGAUUGAUUUCUAAUAAUCAUAAGUGGAUCUUUGUUUGUGAGGAUUAUCCAAUUAUAUUAUUGUUGAUUCUGAUUUCUCAAGUUGUGUUUCAAUUAAAUAAGCUUAGUUUUAUAUGUCACAAUUUGCUUCAGCAUAGUUGAUCUAAUACAAAGGUAUUGUGGUUUUAUAGAUGAAACUGGCGAGCUUGACAGGGUUGUGUUGAUCCUGGGGUUUCUGUUGAUCUAUUUCUUCGUAGGAUGAAUAUAGGAUGAUAUGUUGGUAAUUAAAAACUGGCAAGGAUGUUUUCUUGGUACGUUGAUGUGGAUCAAGUUUUGUUGACAAAGUGCUCUCGACGCAUGACAGCACCUUGAGUUUGUGGGGUAAAAAUUAAACAACAUAAAA
Molecule: non-coding RNA, 614 nt
Organism: Arachis ipaensis
Lineage: Eukaryota; Viridiplantae; Streptophyta; Magnoliopsida; Fabales; Fabaceae
Source: RefSeq, a predicted model, not a curated record